Nannospalax galili (Upper Galilee mountains blind mole rat) is the source of this 163-nucleotide small nuclear RNA. Its record names the gene U1. It matches the Rfam family "U1 spliceosomal RNA". Rfam says of the family: U1 is a small nuclear RNA (snRNA) component of the spliceosome (involved in pre-mRNA splicing). NCBI's taxonomy places the organism in Eukaryota, Metazoa, Chordata, Mammalia, Rodentia, Spalacidae. The record is from Ensembl.
AUACUUGCCUAGUAGAAGAGACACCACGAUGAAGAAGGCGUUUUCCCAGGGUGAGGCUCAUUCAUUGUACUCCAGAUAUGCUGAUUCCUGUGAUUUCAUCAAAUGCAGGAAACUCAAUUUUGUGACUUGUGGUAGUGGGAGACUGUCUUUACGCUCUCUCCUG